GGAGUGAGAGGACCAGAAGGGACAUGCAGCCACAGCCAGAGGUUUGCUUUCUGGACAGAUGAGGCAAGUUGUCUGUUCCAGGGCAUUCUUCAGCCAAUGUACCGGGUGGGCAAGGGGACUACUGUGGAGGUCCCAGCACAUAUCCAGGCCAUCACUGAGUGGACAGCCACCGAGCAGGCACUGGUUGACUUCAUUGUCAAGGAGUGUGGGACCGAGGCGGUCAUCAGUGGCAAGGAACCCUCCAAGUGGCUGAUGGGUUUCCAAGGGAAGUCGCCUAACAAAGUCCCAGUGCACCUUGACAAUGUUGCCCAGCAAGACAGGAGCACUAUGUGGUGUUGUGACCAUAUUUCAUCAGUCAUUACACUGAAUUUUCAAAUAAACAUUAUUAAAAC
Molecule: long non-coding RNA, 392 nt
Organism: Anguilla anguilla (European eel)
Lineage: Eukaryota; Metazoa; Chordata; Actinopteri; Anguilliformes; Anguillidae
Exons: 4
Source: RefSeq, a predicted model, not a curated record